AUACUUACCUGCCAGCGGAGAUACUGUGAUCAGGCAGGUGGUUUCCCCAGGGUGAGGCUUAUGCCCUGCACUCCGGGUAUGCUGAUCCCUGCGAUUUUUCAGCAAUGGGGGAAAGUCGACUGCAUAAUUUGUGGUAGUGGGGGACUGCGUUCGCGCUUUCCCCUG
This is a small nuclear RNA of Aquila chrysaetos chrysaetos, 165 nucleotides long. Its record names the gene U1. It matches the Rfam family "U1 spliceosomal RNA". Rfam says of the family: U1 is a small nuclear RNA (snRNA) component of the spliceosome (involved in pre-mRNA splicing). Its 5' end forms complementary base pairs with the 5' splice junction, thus defining the 5' donor site of an intron. Lineage: Eukaryota; Metazoa; Chordata; Aves; Accipitriformes; Accipitridae. The record is from Ensembl.